ACUUCUUGUUGUUGUUGUUGUCCUUGCUACUUGU
RNAcentral lists this small RNA (34 nucleotides) under Arabidopsis thaliana (thale cress). RNAcentral describes it as "ATSL294730". Lineage: Eukaryota; Viridiplantae; Streptophyta; Magnoliopsida; Brassicales; Brassicaceae. The record is from RNAcentral.